This 500-nucleotide ribosomal RNA is filed under the name uncultured bacterium. RNAcentral describes it as "partial 16S ribosomal RNA". It matches the Rfam family "Bacterial small subunit ribosomal RNA", at positions 30 to 523 of the family's 1533-position model. The record is from RNAcentral.
AUUGAACGCUGGCGGCAUGCCUUACACAUGCAAGUCGAACGGUAACGGGUCCUUCGGGAUGCCGACGAGUGGCGAACGGGUGAGUAAUAUAUCGGAACGUGCCCAGUAGUGGGGGAUAACUGCUCGAAAGAGCAGCUAAUACCGCAUACGACCCGAGGGUGAAAGGGGGGGAUCGCAAGACCUCUCGCGAUUGGAGCGGCCGAUGUCAGAUUAGCUAGUUGGUGGGGUAAAGGCCUACCAAGGCAACGAUCUGUAGUUGGUCUGAGAGGACGACCAGCCACACUGGGACUGAGACACGGCCCAGACUCCUACGGGAGUCAGCAGUGGGGAAUUUUGGACAAUGGGCGCAAGCCUGAUCCAGCAAUGCCGCGUGCAGGAAGAAGGCCUUCGGGUUGUAAACUGCUUUUGUCAGGGAAGAAAUCUUCUGGGCUAAUACCCCGGGAGGACGACGGUACCUGAAGAAUAAGCACCGGCUAACUACGUGCCAGCCGCCGCGGUAA